Molecule: ribosomal RNA, 1374 nt
Filed under: uncultured bacterium
Lineage: Bacteria
Description: bacterial SSU rRNA
Rfam family: Bacterial small subunit ribosomal RNA
Source: RNAcentral
AGAGUUUGAUCCUGGCUCAGGACGAACGCUGGCGGCGUGCUUAACACAUGCAAGUCGAGCGGGGACAGAUUAAAAGCUUGCUUCCGAUCUGUUCUAGCGGCGGACGGGUGAGUAACGCGUGAGCAACCUUUCCUUCACUGGGGAAUAACACAGGGAAACUUGUACUAAUACCGCAUGAGACCACAGCACUGCAUGGUGCAGGGGUCAAAGAUUUAUCGGUGAAGGGUGGGCUCGCGUCCGAUUAGGUAGUUGGUGAGGUAACGGCCCACCAAGCCGACGAUCGGUAGCCGACCUGAGAGGGUGAUCGGCCACAUUGGGACUGAGACACGGCCCAAACUCCUACGGGAGGCAGCAGUGGGGAAUAUUGGGCAAUGGGGGAAACCCUGACCCAGCAACGCCGCGUGGAGGAAGAAGGUUUUCGGAUCGUAAACUCCUGUCCUCAGGGAAGAGCAGAAGACGGUACCUGAGGAGGAAGCCCCGGCUAACUACGUGCCAGCAGCCGCGGUAAUACGUAGGGGGCAAGCGUUGUCCGGAAUGAUUGGGCGUAAAGGGCGCGUAGGCGGCCCGGUAAGUCUGGAGUGAAAGUCCUUCUUUCAAGGAGGGAAUUGCUUUGGAUACUGUCGGGCUUGAGUGCAGGAGAGGUAAGUGGAAUUCCCAGUGUAGCGGUGAAAUGCGUAGAGAUUGGGAGGAACACCAGUGGCGAAGGCGACUUACUGGACUGUAACUGACGCUGAGGCGCGAAAGUGUGGGGAGCAAACAGGAUUAGAUACCCUGGUAGUCCACACUGUAAACGAUGAAUGCUAGGUGUAGGAGGUAUGGACGCCUUCUGUGCUGGAGUUAACACAAUAAGCAUUCUUCCUGGGGAGUAGGGCGGCAAGGUUGAAACUCAUAGGAAUUGACGGGGGGCCGCACAAGCAGCGGAGCAUGUGGUUUAAUUAGUCGCAACGCGAAGAACCUUAUCAGGUCUUGACAUCCAGUAAAUCCUGCAGAGAUGCAGAGUGAGCUUGCUCGUACUGAGACAGGUGGUGCAUGGUUGUCGUCAGUUCGUGUCGUGAGAUGUUGGGUUAAGUCCCGCAACGAGCGCAACCCCUACUUUUAGUUAUUAACGUGUAAAGGCGAGGACUCUGACAAGACUGCCGGGGACAACUCGGAGGAAGGUGGGGACGACGUCAAAUCAUCAUGCCCCUUAUGUCCUGGGCUACAAACGUGCUACAAUGGUGGUUACAAAGAGGAGGGAGCACGUGAAUGUAAGCGGAUUUCAAAAAAGCCAUCUCAGUUCGGAUUGUGGGCUGCAACCCGCCCACAUGAAGUUGGAGUUGCUAGUAAUCGCGGAUCAGCAUGCCGCGGUGAAUACGUUCCCGGGCCUUGCACACA